Molecule: small nuclear RNA, 340 nt
Filed under: Castor canadensis (American beaver)
Lineage: Eukaryota; Metazoa; Chordata; Mammalia; Rodentia; Castoridae
Description: 7SK RNA (ENSCCNG00000005694.1)
Rfam family: 7SK RNA
About the family: 7SK was discovered as an abundant small nuclear RNA in the mid-70s but a possible function has only recently been suggested. Two independent studies have found that 7SK RNA binds the CDK9/cyclin T complex (known as elongation factor P-TEFb).
Source: Rfam by way of RNAcentral
GGAUGUGAGGGCGAUCUGGCUGCGACAUCUGUCACCCCAUUGAUCGCCAGGGUUGAUUCGGCGAUCUGGCUGGCUAGGCGGGUGUCCCCUUCCUCCCUCACCGCUCCAUGUGCGUCCCUCCCGAAGCUGCGCGCUCGGGUCGAAGAGGACGACCAUCCCCGAUAGAGGAGGACCGUUCUUCGGUCAAGGGUAUACGAGUAGCUGCGCUCCCCUGCUAGAACCUCCAAACAAGAAUAACAAAGAACUAAUGGUUCUUCCCCAUAAUUCACAUGCUUUCUAGGAACAUGUAUGCUUUUAAAUUCAGUAUUUAUACUACUGUAAGUAUUUUCUGCUUGUUAAU